Molecule: ribosomal RNA, 918 nt
Filed under: uncultured bacterium
Lineage: Bacteria
Description: bacterial SSU rRNA
Rfam family: Bacterial small subunit ribosomal RNA
Source: RNAcentral
GCUAUACAUGCAGUCGAGCGAACAGAUAAGGAGCUUGCUCCUUUGACGUUAGCGGCGGACGGGUGAGUAACACGUGGAUAACCUACCUAUAAGACUGGGAUAACUUCGGGAAACCGGAGCUAAUACCGGAUAACAUAUUGAACCGCAUGGUUCAAUAGUGAAAGGCGGCUUUGCUGUCACUUAUAGAUGGAUCCGCGCCGUAUUAGCUAGUUGGUAAGGUAACGGCUUACCAAGGCAACGAUACGUAGCCGACCUGAGAGGGUGAUCGGCCACACUGGAACUGAGACACGGUCCAGACUCCUACGGGAGGCAGCAGUAGGGAAUCUUCCGCAAUGGGCGAAAGCCUGACGGAGCAACGCCGCGUGAGUGAUGAAGGUCUUCGGAUCGUAAAACUCUGUUAUCAGGGAAGAACAAAUGUGUAAGUAACUGUGCACAUCUUGACGGUACCUGAUCAGAAAGCCACGGCUAACUACGUGCCAGCAGCCGCGGUAAUACGUAGGUGGCAAGCGUUAUCCGGAAUUAUUGGGCGUAAAGCGCGCGUAGGCGGUUUUUUAAGUCUGAUGUGAAAGCCCACGGCUCAACCGUGGAGGGUCAUUGGAAACUGGAAAACUUGAGUGCAGAAGAGGAAAGUGGAAUUCCAUGUGUAGCGGUGAAAUGCGCAGAGAUAUGGAGGAACACCAGUGGCGAAGGCGACUUUCUGGUCUGUAACUGACGCUGAUGUGCGAAAGCGUGGGGAUCAAACAGGAUUAGAUACCCUGGUAGUCCACGCCGUAAACGAUGAGUGCUAAGUGUUAGGGGGUUUCCGCCCCUUAGUGCUGCAGCUAACGCAUUAAGCACUCCGCCUGGGGAGUACGACCGCAAGGUUGAAACUCAAAGGAAUUGACGGGGACCCGCACAAGCGGUGGAGCAUGUGGGUUU